AUACCCUAUACAGAGUAUAGUGUUUUCAGUGUGUGUCAUUACCAAGGCUUCUUGUUUGUUUUCUACAAUGAAAUCAAUUGUGUUGCUUAACUUGCAUGUGCUUCAAUUUGCUUUCAUUUGUUUUUGCUUUGCAGAACAAGGGUUAUAUUUUACAAGAUAUUUUUUGUUUAGCUCACCUCCCUGAAGGGCAUUUGAGCAUAUACUGUGAUGUCCAUCAUCCGUCAGUCUUGCAUCUAUGUUUCCCUUUAAACAACUUCUUCUGAAUAAUCAAAUGGUUCAGGAUCAUGAUAUUGGGCCAGUAGCAUGCUGAUGAUGCUGGGAUUAUGGGUUUUACCAAAUUUGAUAAAAUGAUUGACCUUUACCUACUUUCAAAGUAAUAGGGGUCAAAUGUGUAAAAACCAAGAGGCCCUGUGUCAUAUGAUAUUGGGCUGGUAGCAUCCUGGUAUGAAGGGCUAGCAAGCUUUUGUUCAAUACUUUCAUGGUCACAGGGGUCAAAUAUGUUGAAAUCUUUUAAAGACUUUUCAAUAACCAGGACCCAGGGUCGUGAUAUUGGGCUAGUAGCAUACCGGGAAGAAGGUCUACCAAUUUUGUUCAAAUGACUAAGCCUUAACCUACUUUCAUGUUCACAGGGGUUGAAUGUGGUAAAACAAUUUUUUAUAAACUUCUUCUCAAUACCCAAGAGAUCCUUUAAAUAUCAAGAUAUUGGGGUAGCAGCAUGCUGAAAUGAAAGGCUACCAAGUUUGUUGACCAUUAAUAACUUCUCAUUUACCUGAAGACCGAGGGUCAUCAUACUAAGUCAGUGACAAUUUAUUUGAAUGAAUGAACUUAGCCUUAUCAUCCUACUAAUUAAAUUAGAUUAGUAUCAAAAUCUUGUUUACCCCCCCUCCCCCCUCCCCAUUUAAGUUCUUACUGUAAUCCUACUGUGACAUACUCAGGUUGGAUCACUGUACUGUGAUACUAAGGUUGAAUCACUGUACUGUGACCUGAGAGAAUGAAUCGCUGUACUGUGACAUACUGAGGUUGGAUCACUGUACUGUGACAUACUGAGGUUGGAUCACUGUACUGUGACAUACUCAGAUUGAAUCACUGUACUGUGACAUACUGAGGUUGAAUCACUGUACCAUGAUAUACAGAGGUUGAAUAACUGUACUGUGACAUACUGAGGUUUGAACACUGUACUGUGACAUACUGAGGUUGAAUCACUGUACUGUGACAUACUGAGGUUGAAUCACUGUACCAUGAUAUACAGAGGUUGAAUCACUGUGCCGUGACAUACUGAGGUUGAAUCACUGUACUGUGACUUACUGAGGUUGAAUCACUGUACUGUGACUUACUGAGGUCGAAUCACUGUACUGUGACAUACUGAGGUUGAAUCACUGUACUGUGACAUACUGAGGUUGAAUCACUGUACUUUGACAUACUGAGGUUGGAUCUCUGUACUGUGACUUACUGAGGUUGAAUCACUGUACUGUGACAUACUGAGGUUGGAUCACUUGACUGUGACAUACUGAGGUUGAAUCACUGUACUGUGACAUACUGAGGUUGAAUCACUGUACUGUGACAUACUGAUGUUGAAUCACUGUACUGUGACAUACUGAUGUUGAAUCACUGUACUGUGACAUACUGAUGUUGAAUCGCUGUACUGUGACAUACUGAGGUUGAAUCUCUGUACUGUGACAUAAUGAAGUUGAAUAACUGUACUGCGACAAACUCAGGUUGAAUCACUGUACUGUGACAUACUGAGGUUGAAUCACUGUACUGUGACAUACUGAGGUUGAAUCUCUGUACUGUGACAUAAUGAAGUUGAAUAACUGUACUGUGACAAACUGAGGUUGAAUCACUGUACUGUGACAUACUGAGGUUGAAUCACUGUACUGUGACAUACUGAGGUUGAAUCACUGUACUGGAAGUGACAGAUUCCACUGAACUUUGACGUACUAUCAUUAAUAAGAUGGAAUCCACAUUACUAUGACAUGGUUGAGUAGAAUCACAUGAGAUUAUGGAAAUAUUAUGAUUUUACUGAUGGACAUGAUGGUUGUGUUAUCAGUAUAUCUCUCCAGGAGACAGGUAAUACAUUAAUACCUCUGAUGGGUUUGCUUUACUGUUGUGCUUUUGUGUUUUGCAUGCUAGUAAAUGUAUAUAUAUAACAAAUACCAAGGCUUGGCACUUUAAGAACAUUGUAGUACAAAUCACGCCAUUUUAGUUUCUGGACAUGUAAUAUUCCUCGGGUCCAAAAUAAUCAUAACACCUUGGGACAAUAACCAACUUUUAUCAAAAACACUGCAUGCAUGUACAUAAAGGUUGUUUUUUAUAAAGAAAUUUGCCAUUUUGAUAAGGAAGGAAUUUAAAUGUGAUGUAUUAAUAAAAAACUUUCGUCAGCUAAACAGGAAAAGUAUGUUUCUGUAUAGUUUUUAUAAGUCAUGCUAGAUUGAUGGCAGAAUUCAUGAUGAAACUUCUUGCUGUAUUACUUAGGAUUAGAGUCAUGUAGAUGGUGAAGGGAAUAGUAUACAUUCAGUCAUGAGAAUGAUGGAGGAGAGAGAUUCAUUGAAUCAUGAGAAUGAUAGAGGAGAGAGAUAGUCAUUGAAUCAUGAGAAUGAUGGAAGGGAGAGAUACAUUGAAUCAUGAGAAUGAUGGAGGGGAGAUAUAUAUUCAGUCAUGAGAAUGAUGGAGGAGAGAGAUAGUCAUUGUAUCAUGAGAGUGAUGGAAGGGAGAGAUACAUUGAAUCAUGAGAAUGAAGGAGGAGAGAGAUACAUUGAAUCAUGAGAAUGAUGGAGGGGAGAGAUACAUUGAAUCAUGAGAAUGAAGGAGGAGAGAGAUACCUUGAAUCAUGGGAAUGAUGGAGGGGAGAGAUACCUUGAAUCAUGGGAAUGAUGGAGGGGAGAGACAAAUUGAAUCAUGGGAAUGAUGGAAGGAGAGAUACCUUGAAUCAUGAGAAUGAUGGAGAGGAGAGAUACCUUGAAUCAUGAGAAUGAUUGAGGUGAGAGAUAUAUUCAGUCAUGAGAAUGAUGGAGGGGAGAGGUACAUUGAAUCAUGAGAAUGAUGGAGGGGAGAGAUAGUCAUUGAAUCAUGAGAAUGAUGGAAGGGAGAGAUACAUUGAAUCAUGAGAAUGAUGGAACGAGAGAUACCUUGAAUCAUGAGAAUGAUGGAGGGGAGAGAUAUCUUGAAUCUUGAGAAUGAUGGAGGGGAGAGACAAUUGAAUAAUGGGAAUGCUCGAGGAGAGAGAUAGUCAUUGAAUCAUGAGAAUGAUUGAGGUGAGAGAUAUAUUCAGUCAUGAGAAUGAUGGAGGGGAGAGGUACAUUGAAUCAUGAGAAUGAUGGAGGGGAGAGAUAGUCAUUGAAUCAUGAGAAUGAUGGAAGGGAGAGAUACAUUGAAUCAUGAGAAUGAUGGAACGAGAGAUACCUUGAAUCAUGAGAAUGAUGGAGGGGAGAGAUAUCUUGAAUCUUGAGAAUGAUGGAGGGGAGAGACAAUUGAAUAAUGGGAAUGCUCGAGGAGAGAGAUAGUCAUUGAAUCAUGAGAAUGAUGGAGGA
Molecule: long non-coding RNA, 3527 nt
Organism: Pecten maximus
Lineage: Eukaryota; Metazoa; Mollusca; Bivalvia; Pectinida; Pectinidae
Exons: 2
Source: RefSeq, a predicted model, not a curated record